RNAcentral lists this long non-coding RNA (228 nucleotides) under Capsicum annuum. Its description in RNAcentral is "long non-coding RNA (CANN_LNC008774)". The record is from RNAcentral. Lineage: Eukaryota; Viridiplantae; Streptophyta; Magnoliopsida; Solanales; Solanaceae.
UUGUUCUCCAUGAUCUUCCACUUCAUGUUUCGACUCUAUUCUUGAUUCACUUGAAAUUUAUACACUAUCAACAAGUUGUUCCAUAUAUAAUGAAACCAUUAAAACCAUUUAGAACACAUUAAACACCAUAGAAUCCAACAAAAGAGAAUAGACAAGCACCUAGCUCAAGCUAGUAACACUAGUUUCAUCGAUUGAACUCUAAGUGAUCCAUUAAACCCAAACUUGUUU